GAGUUUGAUCCUGGCUCAGGAAGAAGGCUGGCGGCGUGCCUAACACAUGCAAGUCGAACGAAGCACUGAGAGAAUGAGAUUUCGGUCAAGAACACUCUUUGACUUAGUGGCGGACGGGUGAGUAAUGCGUGAGCAACCUGCCUUUCAGAGGGGGACAACAGUUGGAAACGACUGCUAAUACCGCAUGAUAUAUUCGGAUCGCAUGGUCUGGAUAUCAAAGAUUUAUCGCUGAAAGAUGGGCUCACGUCUGAUUAGUUAGUUGGUGAGGUAACGGCUCACCAAGACUGCGAUCAGUAGCCGGACUGAGAGGUUGAACGGCCACAUUGGGACUGAGAUACGGCCCAGACUCCUACGGGAGGCAGCAGUGGGGAAUAUUGGGCAAUGGGCGAAAGCCUGACCCAGCAACGCCGCGUGAAGGAAGAAGGUCUUCGGAUUGUAAACUUCUUUUAUCAGGGACGAAGGAAGUGACGGUACCUGAUGAAUAAGCCACGGCUAACUACGUGCCAGCAGCCGCGGUAAUACGUAGGUGGCAAGCUUUUAUCCGGAUUUACGGGGUGUAAGGGCGCGUAGGCGGGGAUACAAGUCAGA
Molecule: ribosomal RNA, 588 nt
Filed under: uncultured bacterium
Lineage: Bacteria
Description: bacterial SSU rRNA
Rfam family: Bacterial small subunit ribosomal RNA
Source: RNAcentral